Molecule: long non-coding RNA, 205 nt
Filed under: Panax ginseng (ginseng)
Lineage: Eukaryota; Viridiplantae; Streptophyta; Magnoliopsida; Apiales; Araliaceae
Description: long non-coding RNA (PGIN_LNC013976)
Source: RNAcentral
UUGGGGUCUUACAUAUGUUAUGUGUACAAGGUUAAUCUGGGGAGCAGUUUCAUUAUAAUCUGAUAAAACCCUAGUAUUAUUGUUAAACCCUAAUUUCGAAGUCUAAUGAGAUGUUAAAAAUAUCUGUUAACACACUGUGUUAUGUGAUGUAUGAUGUGUAUUAUAAAGAUUUGAUGCUAAAAAGGAAACCCUAAUCAUAGGAAAC